GCCAGCAGCCAUAUCACCCUGCAACUCCCAGCUGGCAGCCCACUGAAGCUCAGCAGGUGUGAGCCUGGUCAGUACCUGGAUGGGAGACUCCUGGGAAAGCUAAGGCUGCUGCUGGAA
Lepisosteus oculatus (spotted gar) is the source of this 117-nucleotide ribosomal RNA. The record is from Rfam. NCBI's taxonomy places the organism in Eukaryota, Metazoa, Chordata, Actinopteri, Semionotiformes, Lepisosteidae.